AGAGUUUGAUCAUGGCUCAGAUUGAACGCUGGCGGCAGGCCUAACACAUGCAAGUCGAACGGUAACAGGAAGCAGCUUGCUGCUUCGCUGACGAGUGGCGGACGGGUGAGUAAUGUCUGGGAAACUGCCUGAUGGAGGGGGAUAACUACUGGAAACGGUAGCUAAUACCGCAUAACGUCGCAAGACCAAAGAGGGGGACCUUCGGGCCUCUUGCCAUCGGAUGUGCCCAGAUGGGAUUAGCUUGUUGGUGGGGUAACGGCUCACCAAGGCGACGAUCCCUAGCUGGUCUGAGAGGAUGACCAGCCACACUGGAACUGAGACACGGUCCAGACUCCUACGGGAGGCAGCAGUGGGGAAUAUUGCACAAUGGGCGCAAGCCUGAUGCAGCCAUGCCGCGUGUAUGAAGAAGGCCUUCGGGUUGUAAAGUACUUUCAGCGGGGAGGAAGGGAGUAAAGUUAAUACCUUUGCUCAUUGACGUUACCCGCAGAAGAAGCACCGGCUAACUCCGUGCCAGCAGCCGCGGUAAUACGGAGGGUGCAAGCGUUAAUCGGAAUUACUGGGCGUAAAGCGCACGCAGGCGGUUUGUUAAGUCAGAUGUGAAAUCCCCGGGCUCAACCUGGGAACUGCAUCUGAUACUGGCAAGCUUGAGUCUCGUAGAGGGGGGUAGAAUUCCAGGUGUAGCGGUGAAAUGCGUAGAGAUCUGGAGGAAUACCGGUGGCGAAGGCGGCCCCCUGGACGAAGACUGACGCUCAGGUGCGAAAGCGUGGGGAGCAAACAGGAUUAGAUACCCUGGUAGUCCACGCCGUAAACGAUGUCGACUUGGAGGUUGUGCCCUUGAGGCGUGGCUUCCGGAGCUAACGCGUUAAGUCGACCGCCUGGGGAGUACGGCCGCAAGGUUAAAACUCAAAUGAAUUGACGGGGGCCCGCACAAGCGGUGGAGCAUGUGGUUUAAUUCGAUGCAACGCGAAGAACCUUACCUGGUCUUGACAUCCACAGAACUUUCCAGAGAUGGAUUGGUGCCUUCGGGAACUGUGAGACAGGUGCUGCAUGGCUGUCGUCAGCUCGUGUUGUGAAAUGUUGGGUUAAGUCCCGCAACGAGCGCAACCCUUAUCCUUUGUUGCCAGCGGUCCGGCCGGGAACUCAAAGGAGACUGCCAGUGAUAAACUGGAGGAAGGUGGGGAU
Molecule: ribosomal RNA, 1182 nt
Filed under: Escherichia coli P0304816.5
Lineage: Bacteria; Pseudomonadati; Pseudomonadota; Gammaproteobacteria; Enterobacterales; Enterobacteriaceae
Description: bacterial SSU rRNA
Rfam family: Bacterial small subunit ribosomal RNA
Source: RNAcentral